GACGAACCGUGCGAACGUUGUUCGGAAUGACUGGGCGUAAAGGGCGCGUAGGCGGAUGGCACAGUCAGAUGUGAAAUUCCCGGGCUUAACCUGGGGGCUGCAUUUGAUACGUGUUGUCUUGAGUUCGGAAGAGGGUCGUGGAAUUCCCAGUGUAGAGGUGAAAUUCGUAGAUAUUGGGAAGAACACCGGUGGCGAAGGCGGCGACCUGGUCCGACACUGACGCUGAGGCGCGAAAGCGUGGGGAGCAAACAGG
This 253-nucleotide ribosomal RNA is filed under the name uncultured bacterium. RNAcentral's name for it is "partial 16S ribosomal RNA". It matches the Rfam family "Bacterial small subunit ribosomal RNA", at positions 524 to 776 of the family's 1533-position model. The record is from RNAcentral.